AACCCAAAGGACUUGACGGUAUCCCACCGCACUAGAGGAGCCUGUUAUCUAACCGAUGAUCCACGUUACACCUAACCAUUUUUUGUUUAUCAGCCUGUAUACCUCCGUCGCAAGCCUACCUUAUGAAUGCCUAAUAGUAGGCCCGAUAGUCUUAACACUACAACGUCAGGUCAAGGUGCAGCUCAUAAAAUGGUAAAUAAUGAGCUACAAUUUCUAACUUAGAACAAACGAAUUACUACAUGAAACAUAGUUAUGAAGGAGGAUUUAGCAGUAAAUAGGGAAUAGAGAGCCCUAUUAAACUUGCCCUGGGAUGUGUACAAACCGCCCGUCACCCUCUUCAACAG
RNAcentral lists this ribosomal RNA (344 nucleotides) under Philautus ingeri (Inger's bubble-nest frog). RNAcentral describes it as "partial 12S ribosomal RNA". It matches the Rfam family "Microsporidia small subunit ribosomal RNA", at positions 775 to 1214 of the family's 1311-position model. The record is from RNAcentral. Lineage: Eukaryota; Metazoa; Chordata; Amphibia; Anura; Rhacophoridae.